Molecule: non-coding RNA, 3055 nt
Organism: Arachis ipaensis
Lineage: Eukaryota; Viridiplantae; Streptophyta; Magnoliopsida; Fabales; Fabaceae
Source: RefSeq, a predicted model, not a curated record
CGAAUCGAACCGUGACACGGUUGGUUUUUUAAAUUUUGCCCAAAACGCUGCGUUUUGAACACAGAUCCAGAAGAACCCUUGCCUUCACUCUUCACUCUUCAGUCUUCACUCUUCAGUUCUUCCACCAGACGCCACUCUCGAGCCUCCACUCUCACCUCUAGCUCUCGUGGGAAAGCCUCCGUCCAGCCACCGCCGCCGUCUCAAGUUCCGUGGAAGUCACUCACCGUCGCAAGUUCCUGGAGCCAGCUUGGAGAUUCGCACAGCCCUUUCCGUCGCGAAGUCAGCCGUGGAAAUCGCAGCCACCGCCACCACUCCUUGCCGUCGCGCAGUGUCUUCCCGCCGGCGCCAGCCCUGUUCGAACCUUCCACCCCAGCCACUGUCCCUGUCGCCGCCAGCUCUGCAUUCUCCCGUCUUCCACUAACCCUAGCCGCAGCUGUCUCCGACUCCAAGCUUCCAUUUCCAUUUCCAUCAACACUUGACAGCGUCGUCGCCGGCGGCUUGACGGAGGCUUCAUUUAGUAAUCAGUAGUAUUUGCAGUUUAGAUAAGGUCGUGAUUAAAUGGAGCCUGCAAACGUAGUGUUCGACAAAUUGAAAGCCGUCGCUAAAUCCGGAAACGAAUUCUUUCAUGGACUCUUCGAUCCUCGUCGCAAUCCGAUUCAAAUCCUCAAACGUUUAAACCGAGAAGCAUUCUCUGACAUUAUGAAACUCAGAGACAGACAAGAGAAGGUUGAGAGGUUGCUUUCCUUCUAUAAAUCAUCCAAGGGAGGUCCCUUCCAGGAAUCUACCACUCAUGUAAGAGGAAGGGUCGAUAUGCAGGAUGCUUUAUUGAUUAUGGAUAGCCUUGAUCAACAGAGCUUAGAUGCCAUUACUACGUCCAGAAUAAGAACCGGCAUUGGAUCAAAGUUCAUUUUUGAAACCAACAUUGGGCAGGAUACUCUUGCUGCAGAGUUUGUGACAAGUCAAAACGGGAAGGAUCACCCCAAUGAUGUCCUUGAAAUGCCACUUUCUCUAGCAAAACUCAGUUAUACUAAAAAUGUUAAUGAUUGGUUAUCUCUGACGGCUAUCCCAAUAGGAGCUAAAUGUAGAGAUGUUGGAAUUGCUUCAAAUUCUUCCGAUGAGGGCCUUACGGACUUCUCCUCUUUUGGACCUCCCCUUCUAAAUUUGCACAAUGGUAGUGGUAUUGGCAUAACUGUGAGGAAGUCAAAUAUAAUUGCUUCAUUGGCUCAAUUUGUUGCUGGACUUGGAAUGCCAACUGGGACUAAUACAAUGGAGAGUAUAUCCAGCACUUUUGGGAAAAUUGUAUCUGAAUUUUCUUGGGGGAAGCUGUCUCUUCUGGGUCUUCAACGAGUGCCUUUACAAUUUACGCAAUUUAGAAAAGUUGGAGCUCAUAUGAUUCCAAUAGUCUUGUCCAGGCAACAUAAAGUAUCCGAGACAGUACCUGAAGUAUCACCAUGGGUGGGAGCAAGGACACAGGUCUCAACUGGUUCCAUUGCUCUGAUGGCGGAGUCUGAACUUGCCGACUUUGUAAAAUUGGGAGGCUGGAUCGAGAUGAAAGAUCCAAAUUUCAAUUCUGUUCAGUGGGCUCUAACCAUGUCUGAUGUUUCUGAAGAUCCGCUUGGCUGGGGCGUUAGUCUCAGUGGGAUGAUUGGAGAUUCAACCAGUGAUCAUUUUCAGGCUGAAUCCUAUCUAAAAUUUAACAUGGGUAAUAAACUUUGCUUGAAGCCUGGCGUUGCAUAUGUGAUGCAUGGGGAUUCCAUGGUAGCUGCUUUAAUGCUUCGCUCUGAAUGGUCCCUAUGAUGAUUGUCCUCUGCCUAUUGCUAUCUAUAUACCAUGCAGUUUUUUCAGGUUCUUGCUACACUUACAUCGAGAUGUAUAGAGCAGGAUUUCAAACCCUAGAGGAGCUUAUAUUAUAUGACAUGGUUGCAUAUGUUCGCAUGCAUGCAUGCACCACGUUUUAAGUGUUGUAGCAAGCCUCUUCAGUAUAUGUACAAAAUAGUGAUCAUUCACGUGAUUGGUUCAAGUGAAUCUAGGGCUUGAGCAUUUGGGAUAGCAGAAUGGAUCUCUACAGUGAUUAUUUGGUAUCAUUUAGCUGACGCAGGGGCAAAUAGUUUGAUGUACUUUACAUAACUGCUAACCUUUUCCCUUUUUCCAGUUUUGGUUUCAUGUCAAUAUACCUCAGUUAAAUCUUAAUCCAUGAGUCCAAAUUUUUUCCUAUAUUUGACAAGAUAUAUAAUAGUUAAGCAGAACAAGGAAUGAGAAAUAACCUUUUGCUGUUGAGAUGAGAAAACACUCAUGCCUGGAAGAUUAAAUUGUUAUAAAUAGGAAUUCUACAGAAGAUUCCACUGAUUUCAGGUGAUUUGAGCAAUCUCUUGUGCAGAACAGUAUUUAUCUUUUCUUUAUAUAUUGUGUAAGGAAUUCUUGCAAACAGAAUCCCAGUUGGUUACAGAUUUGGGAAUGAUAAUGAAGCAUAACUAUGAUUUGUUGCGAGCAUGGUAGAGUUAGGGGUAAUGAUUGAUAUUGCCAUCUUUAAAUUUUACCUAACAGAAACCAGAUAACUGUUAUUUCAAGAGAUUCUUCAGGGAACAAAUUUCAAUCCUGUGUGGCUACAUACUACGUUGACAAUCAAUACUAUGAUUGAGUAACCUCAACCCUACUACUCCCUAGCUUCAAACCCAAAUGAACUUUAGGGUUACAAAUCGUCAGUAUAAUUGUUGGCUGUCGGUGGUGACAAUCAAUUGUGUGAGCUCUACCCUGAUGGUAAUAGCUUUGACCUUUCCAAAGGACUUGUCAGAAGGAAACUUAACUUGACUAAAGAAGAAGAUUCCUUGAUGCAUUCACAAGCCAACAACAGCAAUAACACACUUUGUAUAUAUAAUUGUUUUAUUUUUUAUUAUUAUUAAGGUCUUGGGGCCUUGGGGGUGGCUUUUCUAGCUAAAUAAUUUUCCCAUAUUAUCACAUUUUGUUUCAUAAUAUAUCAUCAGUGAAUUUCUUUCAAAUUUGUUAGGCGCCUGCUUUGCUAUAUAUAAUUAUAUAUUGAUAGGUCUUUUUGCUUUAA